UAUUUCUAUCUGGGGUGCUUUUAUAGCUGAGAAAUACCCAUCGAACCUGUAGGUCAAUGCCUGCGUAGGGAGAUAGCCGCUAAUAGAG
RNAcentral lists this non-coding RNA (88 nucleotides) under Oenococcus alcoholitolerans. RNAcentral's name for it is "TPP sequence". It matches the Rfam family "TPP riboswitch aptamer (THI element)". Rfam says of the family: Vitamin B(1) in its active form thiamin pyrophosphate (TPP) is an essential coenzyme that is synthesised by coupling of pyrimidine and thiazole moieties in bacteria. The previously detected thiamin-regulatory element, thi box was extended, resulting in a new, highly conserved RNA secondary structure, the THI element, which is widely distributed in eubacteria and also occurs in some archaea. The record is from RNAcentral. Lineage: Bacteria; Bacillati; Bacillota; Bacilli; Lactobacillales; Lactobacillaceae.